RNAcentral lists this ribosomal RNA (411 nucleotides) under Parahaemophilus parainfluenzae. Its description in RNAcentral is "Haemophilus parainfluenzae bacterial SSU rRNA". It matches the Rfam family "Bacterial small subunit ribosomal RNA", at positions 75 to 479 of the family's 1533-position model. The record is from RNAcentral. Lineage: Bacteria; Pseudomonadati; Pseudomonadota; Gammaproteobacteria; Pasteurellales; Pasteurellaceae.
GAAGCUUGCUUCUUUGAUGACGAGUGGCGGACGGGUGAGUAAUGCUUGGGAAUCUAGCUUAUGGAGGGGGAUAACUACGGGAAACUGUAGCUAAUACCGCGUAGAAUCGGGAGAUGAAAGUGUGGGACCUUCGGGCCACAUGCCAUAGGAUGAGCCCAAGUGGGAUUAGGUAGUUGGUGAGGUAAAGGCUCACCAAGCCGACGAUCUCUAGCUGGUCUGAGAGGAUGACCAGCCACACUGGGACUGAGACACGGCCCAGACUCCUACGGGAGGCAGCAGUGGGGAAUAUUGCGCAAUGGGGGCAACCCUGACGCAGCCAUGCCGCGUGAAUGAAGAAGGCCUUCGGGUUGUAAAGUUCUUUCGGUAGCGAGGAAGGCAUUUAGUUUAAUAAACUGGAUGAUUGACGUUAAC